RNAcentral lists this ribosomal RNA (253 nucleotides) under uncultured bacterium. Its description in RNAcentral is "partial 16S ribosomal RNA". It matches the Rfam family "Bacterial small subunit ribosomal RNA", at positions 524 to 776 of the family's 1533-position model. The record is from RNAcentral.
UACGAAGGGGGCUAGCGUUGUUCGGAAUUACUGGGCGUAAAGCGCACGUAGGCGGCUAUUUAAGUCAGGGGUGAAAUCCCAGAGCUCAACUCUGGAACUGCCUUUGAUACUGGGUAUCUCGAGUAUGGAAGAGGUGAGUGGAAUUCCGAGUGUAGAGGUGAAAUUCGUAGAUAUUCGGAAGAACACCAGUGGCGAAGGCGACUAACUGGACAUGUAUUGACGCUGAGGUGCGAAAGCGUGGGGAGCAAACAGG